Molecule: unclassified non-coding RNA, 296 nt
Filed under: Hevea brasiliensis (rubber tree)
Lineage: Eukaryota; Viridiplantae; Streptophyta; Magnoliopsida; Malpighiales; Euphorbiaceae
Source: RNAcentral
CUUUUACUCCCUUUGUGCUCUCCCCAAGCGAUACUUUGUGCAUGCAGUACUUAUACUCCUGGCUUCGAAUAAAGUCCCUCUCCCCUUCUUCCAGCGGAUCACUCUCGUAGAUGAGCUCAUAGCAGACCGGGGAGAGACACCGCAGGGCGCAAUUCUCCGUAUCUAUCACCGAUCGGCGGCACCGCCAGCCCCACAUCCCGCUCUCGAUGUCGGCAUAGCAGGCUUGCUUCUUCUCUCUGAUCUCAGUGUCCGUAAUGGGGCGAGGAGAGGAUUUGGCGAGCGCCGGCAAAGCGGAG